CCGAUCACAAAGCCUUGGUUUCUCUGUCUUUGUUGGAGACUUUCAAGCGUUCUUCGAUCCACGUCUUUCCAAAUUCCCCCUUUUUUUUAUUCCUUAAUAAAAGCUGAAGCUUUUAAUCACAAGCUCUCACCUUUUCUCAGAUGAGGCCUCUUUGGAUCCAAUCUUCUCCGUUCCAGAUUCGUAAUUUCCAGACCCACCACGUUUCCUUUAUAGAGGUCUCUAAUGGCGGCCGUUUCCGGACACUUGAUUGUUUCCAAGGUUCCUACAUGUUCCACAUUAGUCGCUCACUCGCAAAAACAAGCGAUAUUUGGUUCCGAGGUGAAGUUGAGAUAAACUGAGGAAACCCAGCUGAGAUUUUUAGCCCUUUUCAGUUUCUGGUGAUUGCUUGUGCAGACUCUAGGGUCUGUCCUUCCAUUAUUCUAGGAUUUCAGCCGGGAGAGGCCUUCACAGUUAGGAAUAUUGCGAAUUUAGUACCUGCGUAUGAGUCUGAGCCUUCAGAAACAAAAGCUGCUCUCG
This is a long non-coding RNA of Tarenaya hassleriana, 516 nucleotides long. RefSeq lists it as uncharacterized. The transcript is spliced from 4 exons. NCBI's taxonomy places the organism in Eukaryota, Viridiplantae, Streptophyta, Magnoliopsida, Brassicales, Cleomaceae. The record is from RefSeq and is a predicted model, not a curated record.